UACGUAGGGUGCGAGCGUUAAUCGGAAUUACUGGGCGUAAAGGGCUCGUAGGCGGCCAACUAAGUCAGACGUGAAAUCCCUCAGCUUAACUGGGGAACUGCGUCUGAUACUGGAUGGCUUGGAUUCGGGAGAGGAAUGCGGAAUUCCAGGUGUAGCGGUGAAAUGCGUAGAUAUCUAGAGGAACACCGGUGGCGAAGGCGGCAUUCUGGACCGAUAUUGACGCUGAGGAGCGAAAGCCAGGGGAGCAAACGGG
This 253-nucleotide ribosomal RNA is filed under the name uncultured bacterium. Its description in RNAcentral is "partial 16S ribosomal RNA". It matches the Rfam family "Bacterial small subunit ribosomal RNA", at positions 524 to 776 of the family's 1533-position model. The record is from RNAcentral.